UCCCAUGAAACAAGGGACUUUACAAGAGGCAUAUAAAGAUCUCCAACUCUGUUGGUGCCUUUGAAAUUAAUCUCCUGCAUUUCUUCAGCUUCAAAGUUGUAAAUAUGUAACAAAGGAUAUCCUUCUUCUCUCUGGAAAAAUAUCUCCUUAGUCGACGCGCAAAGGGGAAUAAAUCUUGUGAUAUCAUAUAACCUGUUGAUACUGUACCUCUUUAACCAACUCCCAUUCUUCAGUAUCCAUACCUGAAUCAAGUUCAAUGUGGCAUGAGUUAUGAAGCUCAGGGACCCUCCGAUUUCAACGAGUCGAUCGUUUUUCGUGCUGCUGAUUGGUAGAGGUACAGUUAGG
This 345-nucleotide unclassified non-coding RNA is filed under the name Hevea brasiliensis (rubber tree). Lineage: Eukaryota; Viridiplantae; Streptophyta; Magnoliopsida; Malpighiales; Euphorbiaceae. The record is from RNAcentral.